GCAGCCGCCACGGUAAUACAGAGGGUGCAAGCGUUAAUCGGAAUUACUGGGCGUAAAGCGCGCGUAGGUGGUUUGUUAAGUUGGAUGUGAAAGCCCCGGGCUCAACCUGGGAACUGCAUCCAAAACUGGCAAGCUAGAGUACGGUAGAGGGUGGUGGAAUUUCCUGUGUAGCGGUGAAAUGCGUAGAUAUAGGAAGGAACACCAGUGGCGAAGGCGACCACCUGGACUGAUACUGACACUGAGGUGCGAAAGCGUGGGGAGCAAACAGGAUUAGAUACCCCCGUAGUCCCUGUCUCUUAUAC
RNAcentral lists this ribosomal RNA (302 nucleotides) under uncultured bacterium. RNAcentral's name for it is "partial 16S ribosomal RNA". It matches the Rfam family "Bacterial small subunit ribosomal RNA", at positions 508 to 807 of the family's 1533-position model. The record is from RNAcentral.